AUGUGAAACAUCACAAUCUUGCAUUUCAGUUGUGGGCGGAUGCCAGUUGGUUCACCUGCCAUCUUAUUAUGCAAUUCUAGUGUACUGGUAAGCAGGGUUUCUGCACCUGAAUUCAAAGGGCUGCACAUAGGAGGUCUCACACUUCCCAAG
Molecule: long non-coding RNA, 150 nt
Organism: Nanorana parkeri
Lineage: Eukaryota; Metazoa; Chordata; Amphibia; Anura; Dicroglossidae
Exons: 3
Source: RefSeq, a predicted model, not a curated record